UUCGAGGGAAGCGGCAACAGCUGAAAUGUGACUGUGGCCUUUGGCCGAGUUGUAAUUUGUAGAAGGAGCUUCGGGCGCGGUCACGGUCCAAGUCCCUUGGAACAGGGCGUCGCAGAGGGUGAGAAUCCCGUACGCGGCCGACGACCAAGCCUGGGUGAAGCCCUUUCGACGAGUCGAGUUGUUUGGGAAUGCAGCUCUAAAUGGGUGGUAAAUUUCAUCUAAAGCUAAAUAUCUGCCAGAGACCGAUAGCGCACAAGUAGAGUGAUCGAAAGAUGAAAAGCACUUUGAAAAGAGAGUCAAAAAGUACGUGAAAUUGUUGAAAGGGAAGCGAUUGCUAUCAGACUCGUUUGCGGGUGUUCAGCCGCUGUACGCAGUGGUGCACUCUCCCGUUUCGGGCCAGCAUCGGUUCCGGCGACCGGAUAAAGGCUUCGGGAACGUAGCUCUCUUCGGGGAGUGUUAUAGCCCGGGGUGCAAUGCGGCCAGCUGGGACCGAGGACCGCGCACUGCUAGGAUGCUGGCGUAAUGAUAGCAAUCGGCCCGUCUUGAAACACGGACCAAGGAGUCGACCAAUCACGCGAGUGUUUGAGUAUCAAACUCGCACGCGUAAUGAAAGUAAACGUAGGUGGGAGCCUUACGGCGCACCAUCGACCGAUCUUGAUGUUUUCGGAUGGAUUUGAGUAUGAGCCUGGUUGGUCGGACCCGAAAGGUAAGAUCUUUUCUGGCUAUUUGCAGCACACAUUUUGCUAACGAUUUUUCAGAUGGUGAACUAUGCGUGAAUAGGGUGAAGCCAGAGGAAACUCUGGUGGAGGCUCGCAGCGGUUCUGACGUGCAAAUCGAUCGUCAAAUUUGCGCAUAGGGGCGAAAGACUAAUCGAACCGUCUAGUAGCUGGUUCCCGUCGAAGUUUCCCUCAGGAUAGCAGCAGCGAAAUUAGUCUCAUGAGGUAGAGCAAACGAUUAGAGGUCUUGGGGUUGAAAUCGACCUUAACCUAUUCUCGAACUUCGAAUAUGUGAGAAGUCCUUGUUACUUAGUUGAACGUGGACAUUGGAUAGUCCGUUCAGG
This 1060-nucleotide ribosomal RNA is filed under the name Ocellularia albocincta. Its description in RNAcentral is "eukaryotic LSU rRNA". It matches the Rfam family "Eukaryotic large subunit ribosomal RNA", at positions 88 to 1126 of the family's 3401-position model. Lineage: Eukaryota; Fungi; Ascomycota; Lecanoromycetes; Ostropales; Graphidaceae. The record is from RNAcentral.